GGCCCCGCCCCCCCUCUGGUGGCCGGCUCUGGAGAAACCCCGCGGAGCACCGCGGUGGGGACGGACCGGUGGGCUCCUGGUGGCCGCCUCUUCGUCUGCUACGCGCUUCCCCACCCACGUGGGUGCCUGGGACCUUCGCGUGCUGGCGCGGCUGCCCUUCCGCCGCCACCUAUCCUCCGGCUCCCGACGGGCGCUCACGGCCGUCUAAUACGGGGCCGGCGCGAAGUCAUUCCGAACCUUCCAAAUUGAGCAUGAAACCCAACCCUUUCUGCUCUAAGGGAGCCGACCUGUUGGAGUCAAACGCAGAGAUUCUGACUGGGGCAGGCCUUACACUUAAGCACUUGGACUCUGGAAUGAGAAAGCCUGGCUCCAUAGCACACGCACGCUACCUAUGGUCUAGUAACUUCAGGCAGAGUCCGGAACUUCUCGUGGUCUACUGCUCACUGUUGGUAUAGAGUAAUCAUUUACUCGUGAGGAUGAAAUGAGAAGAUGUAUAACAGAGCAUUUAGUGCGAUGCCUGACACAGAAGUAAACAUCGAUGAUGAUCGUUAUUCAUCACAUCUGAGGUGGAAUCCAUCCGUGUGUCUAGAAAGCCGCAUACGUGAUUUCUGUAACAUUGAGCCUGAGAAAGGAGCUAAUAGAGAUUCUUAGGGAGUAAAAAGAUCAAAUUCUGGUUGUUAGAAAAAUUAGUGACAACUCAGGACGUCUGGGUGGCUCAGUUGGGUCUCUGUACCAUCACAAGAGAGAUGACCAAUGAUCGUUUGGCUGUGCUGGUAGAAAGGUCCACAGAAAGCUGGGCAGAGCUACAGAUCCAGAAUCAUCAGCAAAAUGAAAUCGUGAAUAUGAGUAAUGUUGCCAGAGGUUUCAAGUAAAAGGAUUCGAAGAGGAUGGAAGAUAGUCAGCCACCAUGUUGGUCCUUUAGGGAUUAUGGAACCAUGAGCCAAUGAGCCUGGGUCCCUCAGGAUUUCAUGCAGCAGAACUGUCACACCAGCCGUGAGCUACCCACCUCUGGAUGCUUACAAGAAAGAGAAAUAAAUGAUGUUCUAUCAUAUCAAAGCCA
Long non-coding RNA from Suricata suricatta (meerkat), 1060 nucleotides. RefSeq lists it as uncharacterized. The record is from RefSeq and is a predicted model, not a curated record. Lineage: Eukaryota; Metazoa; Chordata; Mammalia; Carnivora; Herpestidae. The transcript has 2 exons.